RNAcentral lists this long non-coding RNA (211 nucleotides) under Elaeis guineensis (African oil palm). RNAcentral's name for it is "long non-coding RNA (EGUI_LNC006741)". The record is from RNAcentral. Lineage: Eukaryota; Viridiplantae; Streptophyta; Magnoliopsida; Arecales; Arecaceae.
AACAUGCAAGAAAAGUCUCCAUCAGAGUUGAUCCCGAUGAAAAUCCUCUGAUGCUCAAGUUAGAUUUGUCGCAGCAAGUGAAAAAAAAUAAGAGUUAUGGAAGAGAUGGAAGGCGUAUCUGAAGGGUCCCGUUUAUCUCUUUAUAUAUAUAUGAGAUGGGAACUAUAGAGAGAGAGAGAGAUAAAAUCGUAAAAGAUCUUUUUACCCCUCA